Molecule: ribosomal RNA, 2423 nt
Filed under: Bacillus mycoides
Lineage: Bacteria; Bacillati; Bacillota; Bacilli; Caryophanales; Bacillaceae
Description: 23S ribosomal RNA
Rfam family: Bacterial large subunit ribosomal RNA
Source: RNAcentral
UUAAGUUAGAAAGGGCGCACGGUGGAUGCCUUGACACUAGGAGUCGAUGAAGGACGGGACUAACGCCGAUAUGCUUCGGGGAGCUGUAAGUAAGCUUUGAUCCGAAGAUUUCCGAAUGGGGAAACCCACUAUACGUAAUGGUAUGGUAUCCUUACCUGAAUACAUAGGGUAUGGAAGACAGACCCAGGGAACUGAAACAUCUAAGUACCUGGAGGAAGAGAAAGCAAAUGCGAUUUCCUGAGUAGCGGCGAGCGAAACGGAAUCUAGCCCAAACCAAGAGGCUUGCCUCUUGGGGUUGUAGGACAUUCUAUACGGAGUUACAAAGGAACGAGGUAGACGAAGCGACCUGGAAAGGUCCGUCACAGAGGGUAAUAACCCCGUAGUCGAAACUUCGUUCUCUCUUGAAUGUAUCCUGAGUACGGCGGAACACGUGAAAUUCCGUCGGAAUCUGGGAGGACCAUCUCCCAAGGCUAAAUACUCCCUAGUGAUCGAUAGUGAACCAGUACCGUGAGGGAAAGGUGAAAAGCACCCCGGAAGGGGAGUGAAAGAGAUCCUGAAACCGUGUGCCUACAAAUAGUCAGAGCCCGUUAAUGGGUGAUGGCGUGCCUUUUGUAGAAUGAACCGGCGAGUUACGAUCCCGUGCAAGGUUAAGCUGAAGAGGCGGAGCCGCAGCGAAAGCGAGUCUGAAUAGGGCGUUUAGUACGUGGUCGUAGACCCGAAACCAGGUGAUCUACCCAUGUCCAGGGUGAAGUUCAGGUAACACUGAAUGGAGGCCCGAACCCACGCACGUUGAAAAGUGCGGGGAUGAGGUGUGGGUAGCGGAGAAAUUCCAAUCGAACCUGGAGAUAGCUGGUUCUCCCCGAAAUAGCUUUAGGGCUAGCCUUAAGUGUAAGAGUCUUGGAGGUAGAGCACUGAUUGAACUAGGGGUCCUCAUCGGAUUACCGAAUUCAGUCAAACUCCGAAUGCCAAUGACUUAUCCUUAGGAGUCAGACUGCGAGUGAUAAGAUCCGUAGUCAAGAGGGAAACAGCCCAGAUCGCCAGCUAAGGUCCCAAAGUGUGUAUUAAGUGGAAAAGGAUGUGGAGUUGCUUAGACAACUAGGAUGUUGGCUCAGAAGCAGCCACCAUUUAAAGAGUGCGUAAUAGCUCACUAGUCGAGUGACUCUGCGCCGAAAAUGUACCGGGGCUAAAUACACCACCGAAGCUGCGAAUUGAUACCAAUGGUAUCAGUGGUAGGGGAGCGUUCUAAGUGCAGUGAAGUCAGACCGGAAGGACUGGUGGAGCGCUUAGAAGUGAGAAUGCCGGUAUGAGUAGCGAAAGACGGGUGAGAAUCCCGUCCACCGAAUGCCUAAGGUUUCCUGAGGAAGGCUCGUCCGCUCAGGGUUAGUCAGGACCUAAGCCGAGGCCGACAGGCGUAGGCGAUGGACAACAGGUUGAUAUUCCUGUACCACCUCUUUAUCGUUUGAGCAAUGGAGGGACGCAGAAGGAUAGAAGAAGCGUGCGAUUGGUUGUGCACGUCCAAGCAGUUAGGCUGAUAAGUAGGCAAAUCCGCUUAUCGUGAAGGCUGAGCUGUGAUGGGGAAGCUCCUUAUGGAGCGAAGUCUUUGAUUCCCCGCUGCCAAGAAAAGCUUCUAGCGAGAUAAAAGGUGCCUGUACCGCAAACCGACACAGGUAGGCGAGGAGAGAAUCCUAAGGUGUGCGAGAGAACUCUGGUUAAGGAACUCGGCAAAAUGACCCCGUAACUUCGGGAGAAGGGGUGCUUUCUUAACGGAAAGCCGCAGUGAAUAGGCCCAAGCGACUGUUUAGCAAAAACACAGGUCUCUGCGAAGCCGUAAGGCGAAGUAUAGGGGCUGACACCUGCCCGGUGCUGGAAGGUUAAGGAGAGGGGUUAGCGUAAGCGAAGCUCUGAACUGAAGCCCCAGUAAACGGCGGCCGUAACUAUAACGGUCCUAAGGUAGCGAAAUUCCUUGUCGGGUAAGUUCCGACCCGCACGAAAGGUGUAACGAUUUGGGCACUGUCUCAACCAGAGACUCGGUGAAAUUAUAGUACCUGUGAAGAUGCAGGUUACCCGCGACAGGACGGAAAGACCCCGUGGAGCUUUACUGUAGCCUGAUAUUGAAUUUUGGUACAGUUUGUACAGGAUAGGCGGGAGCCAUUGAAACCGGAGCGCUAGCUUCGGUGGAGGCGCUGGUGGGAUACCGCCCUGACUGUAUUGAAAUUCUAACCUACGGGUCUUAUCGACCCGGGAGACAGUGUCAGGUGGGCAGUUUGACUGGGGCGGUCGCCUCCUAAAGUGUAACGGAGGCGCCCAAAGGUUCCCUCAGAAUGGUUGGAAAUCAUUCGUAGAGUGCAAAGGCAUAAGGGAGCUUGACUGCGAGACCUACAAGUCGAGCAGGGACGAAAGUCGGGCUUAGUGAUCCGGUGGUU